GACCUUGCGUCUACAGCCCGAGCAACUCGCUUAAGGCUGAUGGCUGGUGGCUUUGCCACCGGCCU
This is a non-coding RNA of Pseudomonas sp. M30-35, 65 nucleotides long. It matches the Rfam family "Pseudomonas sRNA P26". Rfam says of the family: P26 is conserved across many Gammaproteobacteria species and appears to be consistently located between the DNA directed RNA polymerase (beta subunit) and 50S ribosomal protein L7/L12 genes. The record is from Rfam. Lineage: Bacteria; Pseudomonadati; Pseudomonadota; Gammaproteobacteria; Pseudomonadales; Pseudomonadaceae.